UACGGGGGGAGCAAGCGUUGUUCGGAUUUACUGGGCGUAAAGGGCGCGUAGGCGGCCAGCGCAAGUCAGUUGUGAAAUCUCCGAGCUUAACUCGGAAAGGUCAACUGAUACUGCGCGGCUAGAGUGCAGAAGGGGCAACUGGAAUUCUCGGUGUAGCGGUGAAAUGCGUAGAUAUCUGGAGGAACACCGGUGGCGAAGGCGGCAUCCUGGACCGGCAUUGACGCUGAGGCGCGAAGGCCAGGGGAGCAAACGGG
This 254-nucleotide ribosomal RNA is filed under the name uncultured bacterium. RNAcentral describes it as "partial 16S ribosomal RNA". It matches the Rfam family "Bacterial small subunit ribosomal RNA", at positions 524 to 776 of the family's 1533-position model. The record is from RNAcentral.